Molecule: ribosomal RNA, 301 nt
Filed under: uncultured bacterium
Lineage: Bacteria
Description: partial 16S ribosomal RNA
Rfam family: Bacterial small subunit ribosomal RNA
Source: RNAcentral
CAGUCGCCGCGGGAAUACGUAGGGUGCAAGCGUUAGUCGGAAUUACUGGGCGUAAAGCGUGCGCAGGCGGUUAUAUAAGUCAGAUGUGAAAUCCCCGGGCUCAACCUGGGAACUGCAUUUGAGACUGUAUGGCUAGAGUGUGUCAGAAGGGGGGUAGAAUUCCACGUGUAGCAGUGAAAUGCGUAGAUAUGUGGAGGAAUACCGAUGGCGAAGGCAGCCCCCUGGGAUAACACUGACGCUCAUGCACGAAAGCGUGGGGAGCAAACAGGAUUAGAUACCCCCGUAGUCCCUGUCUCUUAUA